Molecule: ribosomal RNA, 377 nt
Filed under: Sordariomycetes sp. 2450 RO-2014
Lineage: Eukaryota; Fungi; Ascomycota; Sordariomycetes
Description: LSU rRNA
Rfam family: Eukaryotic large subunit ribosomal RNA
Source: RNAcentral
CCGAGUUGUAAUUUGCAGAGGAUGCUUUUGGUGCGCUGCCUUCCAAGUUCCCUAGAACGGGACGCCAGAGAGGGUGAGAGCCCCGUACAGUUGGACACCAAGCCUUUGUAAAGCUCCUUCGACGAGUCGAGUAGUUUGGGAAUGCUGCUCAAAAUGGGAGGUAUAUUUCUUCUAAAGCUAAAUACCGGCCAGAGACCGAUAGCGCACAAGUAGAGUGAUCGAAAGAUGAAAAGCACUUUGAAAAGAGGGUUAAACAGCACGUGAAAUUGUUAAAAGGGAAGCGCUUGUGACCAGACUUGCGUCCGGUGAAUCACCCAGCUCUCGCGGCUGGGGCACUUCGCCGGCUCAGGCCAGCAUCAGCUCGCUGUCGGGGACAA